This 436-nucleotide ribosomal RNA is filed under the name uncultured bacterium. RNAcentral's name for it is "partial 16S ribosomal RNA". It matches the Rfam family "Bacterial small subunit ribosomal RNA", at positions 29 to 506 of the family's 1533-position model. The record is from RNAcentral.
AGCGAACGCUGGCGGCAGGCUUAACACAUGCAAGUCGAGCGGGCAUCCUUGUGGUGUCAGCGGCAGACGGGUGAGUAACGCGUGGGAACGUGCCCUUCGGUUCGGAAUAACUCAGGGAAACUUGAGCUAAUACCGGAUACGUGCGAGAGCAGAAAGGUUUAUCUGCCGAAGGAUCGGCCUGCGUCUGAUUAGUUAGUUGGUGGGGUUAUGGCUCACCAAGGCGACGAUCAGUAGCUGGUCUGAGAGGAUGAUCAGCCACACUGGGACUGGGACACGGCCCAGACUCCUACGGGAGGCAGCAGUGGGGAAUAAUGGACAAUGGGGGCAACCCUGAUCCAGCCAUGCCGCGUGAGUGAUGACGGCCUUAGGGUUGUAAAGCUCUUUUCUCCGGGACGAUAAGAACGGUACCGGAGAAAUAGACCCCGGCUAACUUCGU